GAGGGGCAGCGCGGGGGUAGCAAUACUCCUGGCGGCGACCGGCGCACUGGUGAGUAACACGUAUGCGACCUGCCCCGGACAGGGGGAUAAACCCGGGAAACUGGGCCUAAUACCCCAUAGGCCUUCCGACCGCAUGGUCGGUAGGUGAAAGAUCCGUCGGUCCGGGAUGGGCAUGCGGCGCAUUAGCUGGUUGGCGGGGCAACGGCCCACCAAGGCGACGAUGCGUAGGGGUUCUGAGAGGAAGGUCCCCCACACUGGUACUGAGACACGGACCAGACUCCUACGGGAGGCAGCAGUGAGGAAUAUUGGUCAAUGGACGCGAGUCUGAACCAGCCAAGUCGCGUGCGGGAUGAAGGCCCUCCGGGUCGUAAACCGCUUUAGCCGGGGAGUAACGUGGGGCACGUGUGCCCCAGUGAGAGUACCCGGAGAAUAAGCAUCGGCUAACUCCGUGCCAGCAGCCGCGGUAAUACGGAGGAUGCGAGCGUUAUCCGGAUUUAUUGGGUUUAAAGGGCGCGUAGGCGGCCCGGUAAGUCUGAAGUGAAAGUCCUGCUUUUAAGGUGGGAAUUGCUUUGGAUACUGUCGGGCUUGAGUGCAGGAGAGGUAAGUGGAAUUCCCAGUGUAGCGGUGAAAUGCGUAGAGAUUGGGAGGAACACCAGUGGCGAAGGCGACUUACUGGACUGUAACUGACGCUGAGGCGCGAAAGUGUGGGGAGCAAACAGGAUUAGAUACCCUGGUAGUCCACACUGUAAACGAUGAAUGCUAGGUGUAGGGGGUAUCGACCCCUUCUGUGCCGCAGUUAACACAAUAAGCAUUCCGCCUGGGGAGUACGGCCGCAAGGUUGAAACUCAAAGGAAUUGACGGGGGCCCGCACAAGCAGCGGAGCAUGUGGUUUAAUUCGACGCAACGCGAAGAACCUUACCAGGUCUUGACAUCCAGUAAAACUUGCAGAGAUGCAUCGUGAGCUUGCUCAUACUGAGACAGGUGGUGCAUGGUUGUCGUCAGCUCGUGCCGUGAGGUGUCGGCUCAAGUGCCAUAACGAGCGCAACCCUUGCCGUCAGUUACCAUCAGGUUAAGCUGGGGACUCUGGCGGGACUGCCACCGCAAGGUGUGAGGAAGGGGGGGAUGACGUCAAAUCAGCACGGCCCUUACGUCCGGGGCGACACACGUGUUACAAUGGCGGCCACAGAGGGGCACUACCUGGCGACAGGAUGGGAAUCUCGAAAAGCCGUCUCAGUCCGGAUCGGAGUCUGCAACCCGACUCCGUGAAGCUGGAUUCGCUAGUAAUCGCGCAUCAGCCAUGGCGCGGUGAAUACGUUCCCGG
This 1321-nucleotide ribosomal RNA is filed under the name uncultured rumen bacterium. RNAcentral describes it as "partial 16S ribosomal RNA". It matches the Rfam family "Bacterial small subunit ribosomal RNA", at positions 64 to 1377 of the family's 1533-position model. The record is from RNAcentral.